UCGUUUUCCUUCCGUUUUCAUUUUUCCACCUUCUCGCGUUUCAUUCUAAUGUCCGCCUUUUCGGUUUCUUCAACUACGAUUUCGUUAAACAGCAGUUCACCUCUCAUUCAUUCUCUUCAAAAUUUCUGGCCUUUCACUUCAAUCUCCUCUCCCUCACUUUCUACCGCAAUGGAACCACUCUGAUUGCAUCCUUCCCUGGCCCGCGAAUCGUCACGAAUUGCCCUCAGAAGCCAACACCUCCAGUCCUCCACCACGCCUGCAGUGGCGCCACCGAUUGAACAACAAAAGCUUUUCGACUGCUCCAGACCCAUCCCUCACUUUCUACCGUGUAGGAUUCACAACUUCGCACGCCGCGGGAUCCCUCAAGAUCUCCACCUCAUGGCUGAUGCCUUCGCGAACUUUACCAUGCUGGUGAACCGUGGCUGCAAGCCGUGUGACCCAGCUCAGAAUGGCUACCCAGAAUCCUUUUUCUUCUUCCUUUCAUCUUAACGCUAACCAUGGAGGUGAGAUAUUUUCUCUGCGUGUUCAAUUUUCCAUAUUUCCUUAUGAAUUUGUUCUUUGUCAGUAUCUCUAUUCUAAAUGAAAAUCACUUUGAUUUGCACAUUCAGAUGCUGUUUUUUUUCGUAUUAUAGAAACCCCUUUAUUUACGGUCUCAUCUUCUCUUUCUGUUCGCCAAGGUAAGAACUAAGCGCUAUCAGGUUUGCUCAGUGUUCAAUUGCUUUGUGUUUUUUUCUCCAUCAGAUUUUGUGUUUAUAGGUCAACAUGGACAUCAACAAAGCAAAUAAAGAGUGUGACGAUUAAAGGCUUCAAAGCAAGUUCAACAUUGCUACCUAUGUCGUUUAGAGAGUUUAUCUUUGUAUUCAUUGAAUCAGAAGUAUGGAUUCAUCCAGCCCGGUUCCUUUAUAGGCAAUGGUGAUCUUCAUUGCUCAUGACACCGGUAAGGAUGAGGGAAGGUGCAGCAAACUCACAGUACAUGUGGUGGCUGAGGAAGGAGAUGUGCCAGCAGCCAGAUUUAUUUGGCUGAGCUCUCUGUCGUUUCAACCUUUAUUGGACUUCAAGUGUGUUUCAUCUUCCUAAACUCUUCCCUUCCUUUAUUUUAUUGACUCUAAUUGCUAAUUUCUAUUUAGGAUUUGGCGAGCACCAUUUCAUUAGUCCUUCAUUGGCAAGGCAAUAAUUUGAAACCGCUUGCAAUUUUCAUUCUCACAGGAUGUUAUUACUUCUAAUAUCAUUCUUAGUGCCAGAUAGCAUGCCCAAUUUCUAAGAUUGUUAGCACCACUGAAAAUAAGAUACUCACCUGAAGAAGCUUAAUUACACAUUUUCAACUUGCUGCCAUCUUGGGACAAGCUAAACAUUUUCAUAAUAGGAAAGAUCUGCAGCUUAAAUAAUUAAGCUGCCUAAAUCAAUGAUUGGACAUUUUAUUGAUGUGAUAUUUAACUAAAUCUGUUAAAUGCAAUGAGAGAUUGAUGUCAUCCUUGCAAUAGCAAUUGUAUUAUUGUUUCCAGUAUAAUUCUACAUGUAUAUAAAAAAUUGUUCAUUUUGACCUUUAUCUUAUGGGUCACUUUCCAUGUCUGAAUGCAUGGUAUGGAAAAAUCUAUUUACUUUGUGGAUCUGGGAGUAACCCUGUUUAUGAUCAACUUAGUGCAUGUUUGCUUUUGAGUUGGGUGCCCUCAAAACCAUGGUUUUUGCAAACACUAUAAGUUAUAGAAAAAAAUCUAAUAAUACAUGAUACAUUGUUAGUUUUAUCCAUCUGUUCUCAUUCUGCAUAUAUCAAAUUGGUUUUCCUUAGUAUAGGAACUUUAGAUGUGUUUAUACUUUAUAUUAUGGUUUGAUAUUUUACCCAAUUAACACAUUAUUUUCUUGGCACAGAUGACUAUGAAUGAAGAAGAGGAAUUAAACACUAGACCACUAUCUGUCCUGAUGAUGAGACGCAUGCUUAUUCAAGGAAGUGCAGAAUGGUUGGUGAAAAUCAUGUAGACAAGCAAGAGGAUUAAAAUGUUGAGAGAACACGCAGGAGCAAUAAAGGAUGAAGUGAGAUCUCAAACUGACUUGCUAGCUGCCAAAGACCAAGCAUCUCUUCCAUUUUUUCUUCACCGAUGCCCUCCUCCUCUGAAAAUUUUCCAUUCUGCGAUAGCCUCUUUCUCUGAUCGACGUCGUGGCAUUACGGCCCCUUUACGGUUGUAAUCGGCAGUCUCAUCCCUCCCCAUGCUCAGAUCCACCCUCUCCUAACCGAGUAUAAGAUCAAUAACAUCAAAAAGCGUGAUACGAAUUCUCACAGCGUCCUCGACUCUGGCCAAUACAGAUUCCAUGGUAGUUUUUCGUCGGCGACUGCGAGUUCGACUUUGUCCAACAAAUUUGCGGGAUGAGGUAGCAGCAUCACCAACCACACGGUUUCCAGCUGAGUAUGUGCAAGAAUUUCAGAAUUGUUUUGACAGAUCUCCUGCAGUUCCUGUGUCUGAAUCCUCGAGUUCAUCAUGGCUGCAAGUUUGACCUCAUCGCCAUCUCAGGAGAAAAAUGAAGAACUUUGCUUAUGCGCAAUAGCAGGGGAUAAAAGAGUUUUAAUGUAUGUUAAGUACAUUGUCAUGUACUAUACUUUCAUGUAGAAUCUUCCAUCCUACUUUCAGGCAACUCUGUUCAUUCUCGUGUUAUUUUUUAUCCUGUUAGAUGUGUUAUUGUAGAUUCCUGCACUCGGGUCACGGUUUAUGGGAGGGAGAGUAUUAACCGAAAAGUACACGCUCAAGCUUCAAUUUAAUUGAAUUUAUAUAGAGAUAGAAAUAAAAAUUCAAAAUGAGGUUUAUAUUUUAGGCUAUAUAUUUAAGCUGAGAUUCUUUUGAUUUUCAAUUUUUUAGGGCACGCUACCUUCACAUUACAAAGAAACAUUCUGAGAAUCAAGGAUGCGGAGGUGUGAGCAUUUCCUUUAUACAUGUGUGUGUUCCCGCCAUUGCUGGAUUAUGGUAACCAGCUUGGACUGAGGUUGGAUACGUUGUUCAGGAGAAUGAAAAUGAGGCAGAAAAUCAGCAAUAACGGGGUGGUUCAGUUAGUUUUUGACAUUAUAGCCAUCUUAUGGUGAAAGGGAAAGGAAAACUAUAAAUCAUUAUCAUAGUGUUUCUGCUUCAGGUUUUAUGCCUUGGUUCACUUUGAUAUGGUUACUCAAGAAGUCAAUUUCUGAAACGAGCUAUGGAGCGGAUGGAAUCAGAUAACAGUUAGGAGUAACAGUGGCAGAGAUAUUGAGGGAGAAAGGGAAGCCAGCCUAGAAACUUGGAAGAGAUUUGAAGCUCAGCAGGAAAUGUCAAAGACCCAAGAGGUACCACACAAUGAGGAUGGAUUUCAAACAUGAAGCAAAGUAAUUGAGCAGCUUUGGUCUCAUUGACCCUGUUGUGUCGAUUGUGAUGUGAUUCAGCUUUCCUUCAAUUUUUCAUUGAUACCUCUUACGAAUUUGUUGGAUGUUUCUAGGUCUUUCUAAUCCUUCUUAUAAUUUUGAUUCUGAAUUACAGUAUUAAUUCAUAAUGAAUUUGCUUAUUAAA
Molecule: long non-coding RNA, 3521 nt
Organism: Lotus japonicus
Lineage: Eukaryota; Viridiplantae; Streptophyta; Magnoliopsida; Fabales; Fabaceae
Exons: 13
Source: RefSeq, a predicted model, not a curated record